This is a non-coding RNA of Schizosaccharomyces pombe (fission yeast), 88 nucleotides long. The record is from Rfam. Lineage: Eukaryota; Fungi; Ascomycota; Schizosaccharomycetes; Schizosaccharomycetales; Schizosaccharomycetaceae.
CAUGUAUGAUGAUACUUAAUUUUCAGUUCUGCUUCUGAGAAAAGCUUGAAGACAACCUGAUACCAAGAAACUCUCUAUUAUCUGAUUG